Molecule: long non-coding RNA, 926 nt
Filed under: Anolis carolinensis (green anole)
Lineage: Eukaryota; Metazoa; Chordata; Lepidosauria; Squamata; Anolidae
Description: lncRNA (ENSACAG00000037229.1)
Source: RNAcentral
UUCAAAUUAUUUUUAAAAAAAGAAAAUCCCACAAUAUCUGCUUUGAAAUGGGUUAUCUGAGUCCAUACUUAGAUAAUGUGGGAUGAACAUGCCUUGAUAUUCUGGGAUAUAGGGCUGUGUGGAAGGGUUCUGGGUUAUAUGGGUCUGUGUGGAAGGGCCCAGAGAAGGAUGUGGUCCAGAGUGCAAAAUCAUGGGAUGCUGACUGCCUCCUGCUCCUCCUCGGUACCUCCCCUGGUUUGCCAAAGCCGCCCUUUCCUCUCCUCCUCCUCCAUCCCUCCCUCCCUCCUUCUCUCCUUCUCUCCCUCCCUCCUUCUGCCUCUCCUCCCUCCUCCAAUCGCAGCCUCCCUUACUGCCUGGUGGGCUGAGUGAGCUGCAGCCCCAUCGCCCAGCUGAUCCCAGCCGCCUCGGCCAUGGCAGCACCAGAUUCAGGCAGUGGCCCUCCUCCUGGGCAGCCUGCCCCAUUUCCCCCUGCCCCACCACCUCCACCAAUUCUGCCUCCUCCCUUUAUGCCUCCUCCUGGGAUCCCACCACCCUUUCCCCCAAUGGGAUUACCACCAAUGGGACCACGCCCACCCCCCAUGCCACCCAUGCCCCCAGGUAUGAUGCCACCUCCCCCAUUGAUCCCACCCAUGCCUGGACCGCCACCUUUGGGACAGAUUCCCACUAUGGUGCCACCCAUGCUGCCUGGGAUGAUGAUGCCUGGGGUGCCAGCAGGGCCUGUUCCUGUCACUGGAGGGGCAGCUCCUGUGACUGACCCAUCCAAUGGUAAGGAUCCGGAGCAGUACCUAUUGAUCUACUCACAUUUGCAUGUUUUCGAACUGCUAGGUUGGCAGAAGCUGGGGCUAACAGCAGGUGCUCACUCCGCUCCCCAGAUUCAAAUCUGCGACCUUUUGGUCCGCAAGUUCAGCAGCUCAGCACUUUAUCAC